AGCAGCCGCGGUAAUUCCAGCUCCAAUAGCGUAUAUUAAAGUUGUUGCAGUUAAAAAGCUCGUAGUUGAAUUUCGGGACUAAUAUGUCGGUCGUACUUUGUACGUACUAGCAUUAUUGGUUUCUCCCUUCUGACGAACCACGAUGUCAUUAAUUUGGUGUCAUGGGAAAUCAGGACUGUUACUUUGAAAAAUUAGAGUGUUUAAAGCAAGCUCGCGCUUGAAUACAUUAGCAUGGAAUAAUGAAAUAGGACGUUUGAUUCUAUUUUGUUGGUUUCUAGGAUCGACGUAAUGAUUAAUAGGGAUAGUUGGGGGCAUUAGUAUUCAAUUGUCAGAGGUGAAAUUCUUGGAUUUAUUGAAGACUAACUACUGCGAAAGCAUUUGCCAAGGAUGUUUUCAUUAAUCAAGAACGAAAGUUAGGGGAUCGAAGACGAUCAGAUACCGUCGUAGUCUUAACCAUAAACUAUGCCGACUAGGGAUCGGAUGAUGUUAAUUUUUAAUGACUCAUUCGGCGCCUUAAC
RNAcentral lists this ribosomal RNA (518 nucleotides) under uncultured Glomus. Its description in RNAcentral is "SSU rRNA". It matches the Rfam family "Eukaryotic small subunit ribosomal RNA", at positions 569 to 1092 of the family's 1831-position model. Lineage: Eukaryota; Fungi; Glomeromycota; Glomeromycetes; Glomerales; Glomeraceae. The record is from RNAcentral.